GGCCAUCCAUGGAAUGCUGACCACUUGAAGUACUAUUACAAAUAGACUCACAUUGUACAAGUGUUAAGCUACAACCGUUCGGCAUCCUAUGUAACAAAGAACAUUUGGUAUGAAUUCAAUAAAGAGGUGAUUUAGCCAACUCGACCAUAAACUCUUUUCCAUUCUGAGCAAUGAAACACUCAAGUGUUGAAGCUUCAACGCAAAUGUUUCCAAUACAAAACAAGAUCUAAGUAUGUGUUAACAAAACUAUACAAAGGAUCUACAUCAUACAU
This 272-nucleotide long non-coding RNA is filed under the name Malus domestica (apple). RNAcentral's name for it is "long non-coding RNA (MDOM_LNC000497)". The record is from RNAcentral. Lineage: Eukaryota; Viridiplantae; Streptophyta; Magnoliopsida; Rosales; Rosaceae.